CCACUCCCUCACUCCAUCUCAUCUCCUUUGUUGUGCAGUCUUGUGCCCAAAACCCUAAACCCUUGCGUUCUGAAAUCCCGUUUGCUUCUCCAUAGGCAAACUACGUCGACUCAUUCCUCUUAAUUUUGCUUCCAUGGCAUCGUGUUGCAGCAGAGCCAGAGCCAUCAUCAACAGAUCAUCUCUGCCGUCUAUCAAAUCCGCUCUUAGAUCUAAUGUUCCCAAAUCCUCGCUCGCCGGAUCUCCCCCAAUGCCCUCAUCCUCUCGAAGCCCUCUUUCAUCCGCUUCUCCUCUUCGCCGACUCUCCUUCUCCAGGACUCCGUGCGAGCUGGGAUGCAUGGCAUCUAUGUUGCCGCUACACAGUGCAGUGGCGACGGCGAGGAUGACAUCGUGCCUGAGUACAACGUCGAGGAGUUGCCGUUCGCUUUCACAGGGUACACUCUGCUGCACCUCUCCCGGGCUCUAAUAAUACCGUUUUAUUGCACUCUUUGUUUUGAGUGCACAUAAUAGGGAAAGAAUAAACUGGGAAUAUACAGGACCUGUCAAUUAUGGCUGCAUCAUUGUCAAAUGGAGUUGAUGGUACGUGAGACAUUUGCUGUUUUGGAGAGCUUGGUCUGUCCGUUCCAAGGUGACUUACUGCCGGCAAUCACCUAGAGGAGAAAUCAUUUUCAGGUGACUGGAGAAGCAAGGUUCUUUUAUCUGUUACUCCUGACAAUCCUGUCAAUUUAUAAGUACUUGAACCUCCAAAGCAGUGAAGCUAAAUUGAAGCCGGUUUAUUUUAGGUGAUUUUUUCCCUGAUAAAAUAGAUGGAAAAUAAUGAACUGCUCUUGUAGUCUUGUUAUUACUGCGCUACUAGUUGUCAUUUUUAUUGUUUCCCAUUAUUCAAUGCAUACUGCAUAUUUUCGACGCUUAACGCAACCUGAUUAAGGUUCUUAUAUAGCUAAUGUUAGUUUGCCUCAUCGGC
Molecule: RNA transcript, 961 nt
Organism: Tripterygium wilfordii
Lineage: Eukaryota; Viridiplantae; Streptophyta; Magnoliopsida; Celastrales; Celastraceae
Gene name: protein NONRESPONDING TO OXYLIPINS 2, mitochondrial-like
Exons: 5
Source: RefSeq, a predicted model, not a curated record